RNAcentral lists this ribosomal RNA (800 nucleotides) under uncultured bacterium. RNAcentral's name for it is "bacterial SSU rRNA". It matches the Rfam family "Bacterial small subunit ribosomal RNA", at positions 8 to 784 of the family's 1533-position model. The record is from RNAcentral.
AGAGUUUGAUCCUGGCUCAGAAUGAACGCUGGCGGCGUGGAUUAGGCAUGCAAGUCGAACGAGAAUGUGAUCUUCGGAUUGCUAGUACAGUGGCGAACGGGUGAGUAACGCGUGGGAAACCUGCCCUCGAGUGGGGAAUAACAACUCUAACGGGUUGCUAAUACCGCAUAAUAUUGCAGGUCGCAUGGUCUGCAAUCAAAGGUGGCCUCUACUUGUAAGCUGUCGCUUGAGGAUGGUCCCGCGUCCCAUUAGCUAGUUGGUAGGGUAACGGCCUACCAAGGCGACGAUGGGUAGCCGGCCUGAGAGGGUGGUCGGCCACACUGGAACUGAGACACGGUCCAGACUCCUACGGGAGGCAGCAGUCGAGAGGCUUCGGCAAUGGGGGAAACCCUGACCGAGCGACGCCGCGUGGGUGAUGAAGUCCUUCGGGAUGUAAAACCCUGUCAUACGGGAUGAAAAAUUGAUCGGUUAAUAGCCUUUCAAUUUGACAGUACUGUAAGAGGAAGCUCCGGCCAACUCCGUGCCAGCAGCCGCGGUAAUACGGGGGGAGCGAGCGUUAUUCGGAUUCACUGGGCGUAAAGGGUUCGUAGGCGGUCAAGUAAGUCAGGGGUGAAAUCUAACGGCUCAACCGUUAAACUGCCCUUGAAACCGCUUGACUUGAGGACAUGAGAGGAAAGCGGAAUUCUCGGUGUAGCGGUGAAAUGCGUGGAUAUCGAGAGGAACACCAGUGGCGAAGGCGGCUUUCUGGCAUGUUACUGACGCUGAGGAACGAAAGUCAGGGGAGCGAACGGGAUUAGAUA